Leucoraja erinaceus (little skate) is the source of this 373-nucleotide long non-coding RNA. RefSeq lists it as uncharacterized. NCBI's taxonomy places the organism in Eukaryota, Metazoa, Chordata, Chondrichthyes, Rajiformes, Rajidae. The transcript has 3 exons. The record is from RefSeq and is a predicted model, not a curated record.
UAAUGUCAGUACUGGUCACAAUGCCAAGUUCAACUAUCUCCUUUGCCUGCAUGUGAUCCAUUUACCUCCAUUCCCUGCAUUUACCUAUCUAACAACCCCUUAAACGCCACUGUGGUAUCUGGCUCCACCAUCACCUCUGGAAGCACGAUUCAGGCACCCACAACCUGCUGUGUCUCCCCUCAGCCUCCGACUCUCCAGAGAAAAGAAUCCAAGUUCUAUGUGAACUCUAGGAGCUAGUACAGCACUAAUAACUACCGUCUUGUGUGGUGGAAAAGACUGAAGAGCAAACGCUCGCAUGGAAGUGGUGAUAGACUCGAGGCACUCAUCAUAUGAAGAAUUUGCAGAAUAAAUAAUUCAGCUGCUGGUCCACAGA